Long non-coding RNA from Balaenoptera ricei (Rice's whale), 149 nucleotides. RefSeq lists it as uncharacterized. The transcript has 3 exons. Lineage: Eukaryota; Metazoa; Chordata; Mammalia; Artiodactyla; Balaenopteridae. The record is from RefSeq and is a predicted model, not a curated record.
GGAGACCCGACUGCCGCACGCCAGGACCUGCUGAGCUUCUGCCGCCGCUGAGUCCAUGAAUUUGCAUGUGCUACUUGGGGAACCCCCAGAACCCUACAUCUAAGCUUACAUUUACUUUGACAAAGGCAAAUUUGGAAGCAAUUACUUGA